This is a long non-coding RNA of Harmonia axyridis, 1370 nucleotides long. RefSeq lists it as uncharacterized. NCBI's taxonomy places the organism in Eukaryota, Metazoa, Arthropoda, Insecta, Coleoptera, Coccinellidae. The transcript is spliced from 2 exons. The record is from RefSeq and is a predicted model, not a curated record.
UUCUAAUAUUCAAAUCAAUAUACCUAGAAAAUAUAGGUAUAUCGGUAUCCUCAUAUUAGGGUACACGAAUAUAUUACAGAAUAGCCUCUUCCUUUCCUCUACUAUGGUUUUGUAUACAUUUGAUCUUUAAAAUUUGAUGAUAUUGUCGACGUUAGAUUAGUUAGGAUUGGCGUAGUGGGAAUUCAAUCGCUCUGGUAGAAUAAAUUUUGUCGACCCCUCUAAAUCACCGCAAUGUUGAUUUAACCCAUUAAUGCCCAAGGUGUCCUCAAUAGAUUAUUCUAUCACUCAUUGCAAGUGGUAGAUGGUGCUACUAUUGCAUCGAUAUAAACACAUCAUACUUCCUUCUAAGUUUUCCCAAUUAUACACUACGACAGAAGCAUAAACGUGUUUCUAUGUGCUUGUAAAUAUGGACAUUCAAUUCAAUUCAAUUCAAUUUAUCCAUCAAUAGGUAUAAAUAUACAUCAGACAAAAACUUCACUUGCAGAAAUAUACAGCCUAAGCAAGCUUGUAUGCUGUCAUUAUCUGCUUCUACAACUGAUGAACAUUCUCCCCAGUUAUACAAAAAAUCAAUACAUUUAUUGAAAGAGAAACAACAAAAAUGUAGAUUACCAAUUGAAAGGCAUAACAGGUCAAAGAAAUGUAAAAAAAAACAACAGAAAACAAAAAAUUAUGUCGAUAGGAUGGCUUCGAACCUAUCAGAAUUAACAAACACACAAAUUCGGAGAUGAUAUCUGAAAAUUUUACUUUUUACAUUGGUUUUUGAUUUAAGUUCUUAGAUUAAGACAUAAAUGGGAAAAGUCAUCAGGUUUACAAAUUAUUAUUGGAAAAAACCUAUUUCAGUGACUGAACUUCUAAAUGAAGUGGUUAAUUUAUAUAUCAAUGAUGCACCAAUUCUUCCUAAUGAAAUAUAUAUUCCCCAUGAAAUGAACCUACUGUGAUUCAGAAGACGAGGGGGAAGCAAACCCAGCUGAAUUGAGCAGCUGACAGCUCAGAGCAGAAGGAGAACUCAUGAUUUGUUGAGAUAAUUUUUUUUAUCAUUGGCAUAAAAUGGAAAUACAAUAGUGUUGAAACCGUAUUAUUAAAUGAGUAUGAUGCUGAGCCUAAGUAAAAUGUAAAAGGAUCUCAGUAAAAGAUAUGAGGAAAAUAGAUGUGGCUCAACCGCAUGCAAUAAAAAUGUACUAGAUGUAAAGAAUUGCUAUAAAGGAAAAAAUGGUACAAGCCCAUAUUGCUUUGGAUGAUUGACUUAGCGUUUUUAGACGAGAAAUUUCACAAUACCUCCUAAAGAAAUGAGAAAGAAGAAAUGAACACAAUCAUUUUUAUAAAUAAAUUUUUUGAGAUAUUUGUAAAGGCCGAAAUAUAAUUCCACCGUU